GUUCUGGCUCUUGGGCUCUGAGCGCAGGCUCAGAUAGUUGUGGUGCUUGGGGGUAAGCAGCUCCUCGGCCUGAGGGAUCUUCUGGGACCAGGGACCUCUUGCAUUGCAAGGUGGAUUCUUAACCCCUGGACCACCAGUGAAGCCUGUGAUUAAGUAGUGAAUUUCUCCCUGUGCCAUUGGAAAAGCCUGGAUCUGCAUCACCCAGGGGUAAAGGUCUAUGCAGUCCCUGGUGUGUGUGUCCUAAAGGUGAUGGGCUGGUGCCUCAGAGAGAGAGAGCUGAUCAAACUGAGAAGGAGGGCCUGACAUCCAACGUGAGAGGUAGCCGGCCUGGCCUCUUGAGUGCUAACACAGGAUCUGCGUUGCCCGGAAGGAGAAACAAAGGCUCAGAGAUGGAUGGCACCUGGCCAUGAUUACAGAGCUGUGACAGAGAGCACGGCCCAGCACCCAGCACUUCCCUCUCAGAACUGCAAACCCCUCUGGAAGUAGCCAUGACUGGAGAGUGCUGGUGCUCCUCCCCUUUCCAGAAGUUCAGGGGGACCCCCAGGACUGGCUACUGUCUCACUGCAGGAUGGAAUAAAUGGCUGGGACGCGCAGAAGGGGCCCCGCCAGCUCGCAGGCAAGUUCAGAGCUCGGCAUCUGGCAUCCGCCAGCCCCGGAGAAAGUGGUGAGGCGGAGAAAGCGGCUCCCUCGGCGCCUGGGCCGCCGAGGAGGUCGAAGGGCUCAAGAGCCAAGUGCAGCCAUGCGGUCCAUGUCAGCGCCUCCCGGAACCCUUGGGUGUGCGUGGAUUUGGGCCGCUGCUGGACCAUGGAGCGUGGCCCUGUGGCAACUAACUCCCUCUUUUUGCCUGGACCGUGGUUUCCAAAGCCCCUCAGAAAAAAGCCCCUGCUACCCUCCCACCGCUCCCCUUCUCCUUGGCAGAAGGCAAGGCCGGCUAGUUGGGCAUUCAGCUUGGGUUGUGCAUAUCCACCAAUCGCAACAGACUAAAUAGCGGUUUGAAGUGUUCCCAGCACACACAGCUGGAGAGGGCGAGGGGAGAGAAGGGAGCCGGAACGCGGGCGCCCGGCACCUGUUGAAGGCUACGGAGAGGGAGAAACGCGCACAGGCGGACCAUUUGGUGACGCGGCUCGCAGCCCGGGAGGAAACUCGCGAGGGGCUCCGCCGAGCGA
Long non-coding RNA from Bos taurus (domestic cattle), 1166 nucleotides. Lineage: Eukaryota; Metazoa; Chordata; Mammalia; Artiodactyla; Bovidae. The record is from Ensembl.